Molecule: ribosomal RNA, 573 nt
Filed under: Triticum aestivum (bread wheat)
Lineage: Eukaryota; Viridiplantae; Streptophyta; Magnoliopsida; Poales; Poaceae
Description: partial small subunit ribosomal RNA
Source: RNAcentral
AUGAUGGGGAGCCUCUGCGGGAGGCGGCCGCGGGCGGAGACGCGCCACCCGGUGUACCGCGGCGUGCGGUUCCGGGCGGGGAAGUGGGUGUCGGAGAUCCGGGAGCUGCGCAAGCACACCAGGAUCUGGCUCGGCACCUACCCGACGCCCGAGAUGGCCGCCGCGGCGUACGACGCGGCCGCAUUGGCCCUGCGUGGCGCGGGGACGGCGCUCAACUUCCCAGACGCGGCAAGGUCGCGCCCCGCGCCGGCGUCCAUGUCCGCCGACGAUGUCCGGGCUGCGGCGGCCGCUGCCGCCGCGUCCGCGAUGGCCAGCACCUGGGCUCCUCAGCGCAGCGACCAAUGCUACGGCGAUCAGCUGCAUGCAGGCGAGCAGGACAGGCGUGACGACGCGAUCGGCGUCGUGGACGAGGACGACGUGUUCGAGAUGCCGCGGCUGAUGGUGAGCAUGGCGGAGGGGCUGAUGAUCAGCCCGCCGGUGCUGGGCACACCGGCGGCGGACGGUUGCUCGGCGGCGUCGUACUACGCGGAAGCUGACGAUGAGGACGCCGUGAGCUUGUGGGAUCACUCUUGA